Molecule: unclassified non-coding RNA, 339 nt
Filed under: soil metagenome
Description: partial contains 5.8S ribosomal RNA, internal transcribed spacer 2, and large subunit ribosomal RNA
Rfam family: 5.8S ribosomal RNA (bases 1-121)
Source: RNAcentral
GAUGAAGAAACGCAGCGAAAUGCGAUAAGUAAUGUGAAUUGCAGAAUUCAGUGAAUCAUCGAAUCUUUGAACGCACAUUGCGCCCAUUAGUAUUCUAGUGGGCAUGCCUGUUCGAGCGUCAUUUCAACCCUUAAGCCUCUGUUGCUUAGCGUUGGGAGCCUACCUACCCGGUAGAUCCUCAAAGUUAGCUGGCAGGGUCGAGGUUCGCCCUAAGCGUAGUAGUUCUUUCUCGCUUCUGCGGCUGCCUAGGCCAUCGCCACAAGCCUUUUAAACUUCAAUGGUUGACCUCGGAUCAGGUAGGAAUACCCGCUGAACUUAAGCAUAUCAAUAAGCGGAGGA